This is a long non-coding RNA of Peromyscus californicus insignis, 4809 nucleotides long. RefSeq lists it as uncharacterized. NCBI's taxonomy places the organism in Eukaryota, Metazoa, Chordata, Mammalia, Rodentia, Cricetidae. The transcript has 2 exons. The record is from RefSeq and is a predicted model, not a curated record.
GGGACGCAGAGCGACGCUGGGCACGCUCCGGUGCUCCGGCUCCAAAGGCGACAUGCUCCGACUCCAAAGGAGCAUCUGCAGGGGCCCAGGUUGUAAAGGUGGAGGAGUGUAUGUUGUUGUGGCACCUAGAAGAUGCAUGACACCUCAUGGGAGUAAAGGAGGAUGAGACUGAGAGGGACGAAGAUCUCAAGUGUUGAGUCCUGGGUCUGUCGCUAACAUGUCAGACGUCUGCUAUCAUUUUCUUGAAGUUCUUUCUAGCUCCAAAUAUUCUUUCUACCACAGAUCUCUGUAAAGGGUUAUUUACGGGCAAGGUGUGCUUUUUCCCUGUGCACUUAGCUGCCACAGAAAAGUUACAGAAAUUGAAACACGUGCAAAAGCUGUAAGCUCCCGAUGGAGAGUGGAAAUGCAGAAAUUUGGGCUGAAAAGGAAAAAAAAAAAUACUUGUUAUAUACAAAGGAAUUGGUGGUCUACGUUUAAGAAGUACGUGGAGAAUGUUUAUUUUCAUUCUAUUUUAAUUUCUGGUUUGUUUUGUUUUGUUUUUUUAACAUACACAGGUUGACGAACCAGAAAGUGAGGCGCUCACUAUAAUCGGUCUGUGAUGUUCCUAAUACGCAUACAGGGCAAAUGGCAAGACCAUCAGAAACAAUGUUUCCCUAAGUCCUUGUGGUAUCUAUCGACCUUCUUUUUUCCAGUCCUUAAUGUUUAUUUAACGUGAGUGCCCAGUACUGCUUUGUUUCUCAUUGUCUCCAGAGUGAAUUGCUAACAUUCUUUUCACUGUUGAUGCUUACCUCCCCUUAAACACCCCAGUCAUUGAGCAGAACCCUAAAUACUGUAAAAAUCCAUCCAUAGUCUCUUUUACUAAUACACUCAGUUUCUUGGUAUGGAGUUUUUCCUAGUUUUGCUUGCCUACAUGCAUGUUCCUAAGGUCUCUGUCUGUUGAACAUUAUCAAAUAGUGCAAUAUUCAAAAGUUUCAAGUAUGCAGAAUAGAUUCCUGUCUACUUCUGUCUCUCUGUUGUCAUUUCCAUAACUAUUUGCCCAGAGAUAAUCUACAAGCAAAUACAUAUGUUAAAAAUGCACAGAGGGAGAUGGGUUAGCAGUUAAAAGCACUUGCUACUCUUGCAGAAAAUCUAGGUUCAGUUUCCAGAACCCACACCAUGGCUUUGUAACUUCAAUUCCAGGUGAUCUGAUGCCCUCAACUUCCACAGGCACUGGCUUGGACCACAUAGCAACCACUGCUGCUUGGUGAAGUUCCAGCAUUUCACCAUUGCAGACCACACUUCUACAGCACCUUUUUACUUUCAUAUUUAAUGAUUCUCAAUAUCAAUGCCUUUCCUUUUGGGUAAUUUGUGCAGGCUUUGCUAAAGGAUAAAAAUGUGUACAAUGGUAGCCUCUCUAAACAAAAUAAUUCUUUGGAAAAAAUCUCUGCCACUUUGGAACCAGGAAUUCCAUUGUGCCCUCCUAAUUACAAAGAGAACAGGAAAGUUAGAGAUUUUACCAGAUAUACCUGGUCCCCAGGAUGAAAAGCCUUCAAUUCAGAUCCAGAGCCUAAGGCCAUUAAGGGCAAGAGUUCAGUUAAUAAAUAUAGAGAAAUCAGAAUGGCAGUAUAAUGGGAAAAGAGUAAGACAUCAGGACCUAACCUUUUGGGAACAUUUUGAGGGGAACAGGCCCAUAUAGUAAGACUAAGAAAUGGUAGUAUAGAGUCUGCUCCCCAGAAGAGGAGAAGACCCUAUGCUAGAUGUACUUUGCUUGCCUAGACAGAUUAGCCUUCCUGCUUUACAUCCUGGAAGGCUGACUCUUCAAGGAUUGGAAAAAGUCUGUUCUCUUUUCUUCUGUCUUCCAGUUGGUUUAGCCAAAGGCAUGUAUCAGACCUGCUCUUUCAAUUUCCUUUAACAGUGCCACAGAAAAUUUAAUGAUGGGGUAAUUGGCAAUCACUCCUUCCCAGCUUUCCACGUAUUUUCUGCCAACAUCCCGAACCACGGAGAUCAGGCCAGAAGAGGGCACCAGAUCUCAUUACAGAUGGUUGAGAGCCACCAUGUGGUUGCUGGGAAUUGAACUCAGGACCUCUGGAAGAGCAGCCGCUCUCAACCUCUGAGCCAUCUCUCCAGCCCCAAUAACUAUAUUUAUGAUAUUCAUUAAUUACAUUAAUUGUAUUGAUUUAUACAUUCAUGAUAUUAUGUCCUGAUACUACUGUCCAUUUGUGGGGUUUGUUCCAUCACACAAAACAGAAAUUUUGUACUUAGGAAAUUGCUGCUCUAUAUUCCUUUCUUCUCCAUCUUGAGAUAACAUCUAAUCUUUCUGUCUCUAUGAAUUUGUAUAUUCUAUAUAUUUCAUGUGAUACAAUUCUAUAGUAUUUGUCCUUUUUCCAUCAUGUCUUAAUUUGAGUCUGACCUUUAUAAAAAUUGUUGUGAAAUACACAUCCAAUUUACUGUCACAACCAUUUGAAGUUCGCAUUUAUUAGUCUUAAGUGUAUACACAGGGUUGAACAAGACUCCAUCCAGACCCUUUUAUCUUAGAAAACUGUAAGUACAUCCAUUUAAAAAAAAAACCCACAAAAUCUUCAUCUUCCUGUCUUGCCUACCCAUUGACAGCCACUACCAUUCUGUUCCUGUGAAUUAGAUGGCUCAUGUAAGUAGACUCACAGCAGGUGUCUUUUCAUGAGUAACUUAUCUCACUUAGCACAACAUCCUGAAGUUUCAUUCAUGUUGGAGGACAAGUCAGUUUUCUUUCUUUUAACACUGGGUAAUGCUCCAUUGACUGUGUAUGAUAUGGUUUACCCAUCCCUUCAACUGCCAUUAGACAUUUUGGUUGCUUCCACUUUUGCUACUGCAGGUAAUACUGUUAUGAAGAGGGGCAUAUACACAUCUGUGAGUUCUUGUCUCCACUUCCUUUGGGUCAUACAGCAAUUUUCUCUUCAGUUUUGGUGGAGGUAUUGUGCUGUUUUCUGGGAGAACAGCACCAUUUAACUUUCCCACCAACAGUGUAGUGCUCUAAGUGUUAGGCCUUGUUAUUUUAUGUUUUCCUCUUACUUCUUUGGGUUGGGGUGUGUGUGUGUGUGUGUUGAUUUGAAUAGCAGCCAUGGAAGUGGGUGUGAAGAGCUAGCUCCCUGUGGCCUUGAUCUGUAUUUUCUCUAUGCCCAUUCAUAGAUUUUUCUGGCUACUUGCUUGUUUUUGUUGUAUUUCUUUUGAACUUGUUGGCUUUUUUGUGUAUCUUCUUUGAAGAAAUGUGUCAUCAACCCUCUUUUCUUGCCUUUUUUUAACCUGCAUCUUUCUCUUUUAAAAUCUUAACUGAGAAAGAUAUAAAAUUUGUACAUAUCAGUAAGGUACCGUGAAAUGUUUAUACAUGUAUAUAUUACGUUUAAAUAAGUUUAAUCAUAUUUAUCUCUCAAACAUUUGUGAUUUCUUUGUAGUGAAGAAUUUCCAAAGGCUUUUUCUAGGUGUCCCUGAGCCCCUUGUUCCUGUCUAGGCAUAAAUUAGUGCCCAUUCAUAAACUUUCCCCUUCCCUCCUUCUCUUCUACUUCUUUUUUCUUUGUGUGUGCAUGACAGAUAGAGAAACAGAGACAAGAGUCUUGCAUUGUAGUGUAGCCCAGGCUAGCCUAAUUCUCAUUAUGUAGCUCAAGCUGACAUUGAACUUCGAGCAAUCCUGGUUCAGCCUCUUGAGUAUCGGGAUAAUAGAUGUGAGCCACCAUAGCUGGUUCUCCUCUCUGCUCUUACCAGCCUCCUCUCGUCACCACCAUUCUACUCUCAACUUCUGUGAGCUCAGCCGUUUCAGAUUUCACAUGAGUAAGAUCCUGUGAUUCUCAUCUGACUUGUUUCACUUAACAUAAUGAUUUCCAGUUCUGUUCAUGGAAUUGCAAAUGGCAUAGUGUCAUUCUCUUUAUAGCUAUACAGUAUUACAUUGUGUGUGUAUACCACACGUUAUCCAUUCAUCAAUUGAUGAAUACUUCAGCUGUUUCUAGUUCUUCGUGACUGUGAAUAAUGUCUUUGACAUACUGAUUUAAUUUCCUUUGGGCAAAUACCCAGUAGUGGUAUUGCUGUAUCAUAUCAUAGUUGUAUUUUUUAUUUUUUUUUAAAGAACCCCCAUACUGUUUUCCAUACUGGCUUUACUAUUUUUUCACCAACAGUGGAUAGUGGUUCCCUUUUGCUAUAUUCUUGAUUGACAACACUGUAAAUCUCCUGCCUCAGCCUCCUGAGAGGCUGGGCAUCCAUAUCACUCUGAGGCCUUCUUUGAUCUUUUUGGAAAGAUUUUGCAUUUAUUUAUUUGUGUGUGUGCACACACAUCACACCCACAGUACAUGUAUGAAGGUCAGAGUAUAACUUGCAGGAGUUGGUUCUCUUCUAACAUCUGAGGUCCAGCAAUUAAACUCAGGUCAUCAAGCUUAGCAGCAAGCUCCUUUACCCACUAAGACAUUUUGUCAGGCCCUCUCUGGUCUUCUUGAUAAUAUUGACUAGGAUGAGAUGAUACUUCAUGUGGUUUUGAUUUGCAUUUUCCUGAUAAUUAGUGAUGUUCCAUAUUUUUCAUACAUGUUAGCUAUUUGUAUGUCUUUUUAAAAAUGCCCAUGUAGAGUUACUGCCCAUUUUUUAAAAUGCUAGUAUUCUAUUUUUAAAUAUAAUUUAAAUUUAAAUACAAUUACAUCACUUCCUUUUCUUUCUUCCAGCCUCUCCUAUGUUCCCUUCCUUCAACCCCUACUUUGUCUGUCCCCUCAUUCUCAAAUGGUAGCUUCUUUCUCUUUGAUUAUUAUUGUUACAUGUGUGCCCACACGCAUGUGUGUGCCUGAAUACAUACUCAAAUAUAUGAAUACAACCUGCUGA